This 793-nucleotide long non-coding RNA is filed under the name Phasianus colchicus (ring-necked pheasant). RNAcentral's name for it is "lncRNA (ENSPCLG00000009860.1)". Lineage: Eukaryota; Metazoa; Chordata; Aves; Galliformes; Phasianidae. The record is from RNAcentral.
GGUAUGGGUAAGGCUUACAUGGGAGGGCUGGCCUAGGACUAAAGAGACAAAUGCUUCUGCAGGCAGAACAGGAGAAAUGGUGCAUGGUAAACAUGAUAUUUUCUGGCAUCAUUUUCCUUAAGGCUUCUUCUGGAGGUUCAUUUUGGCUUCCUGUUCCUAAUGCUGAUGGAAUAACAAUACAAAACUGCACACCCUGCUGAGAGAGUGUUUCCCAGUAUGUUUAUUUGUUCAUGAAGUUUUUGGCACAAUGCAGGGUUCUCUGAAGAGGAAAGCAAAACGAGAAGUUGCAUUUGGAGUAAGAAAAAACGCUGCGGCAGUGCUUCUAUUGGAGAUUCAUCCCAGAUGUGAUCUGCAACUGAAGAGGGGACUGCAUAUGCAGUGUUUCCCAAGAGCUUACGCCUGAAGCAAUAGAAGAAAUUCUGCUGGAGCAGUAACAGUGUAAAACCUCUACUGAACAUGGAGGAGAUGACCGUGUCUGCACAAGAGGUAGGAAUUCUGGCUGAGUGAUAUUGCACCCAGAAAUGUGCUUUGUGGCAAAAACACCAGUCUUUCCAUUCUACUUUAUUUAUUAAACAAGAGUCUGUGUAAUUCAGAAUGAUGUUAUGAUGGCUGCGUUUCAAAGUGAAUUCAGUCAAGAAGGAUUUCAUUUAGAGAAAUAUUGCAUUCUAGCCAGGAAAUUUCUAAUUGGUAUUUUGUAAUCCAGUGAGGCUGCCUCCAAGAAUCCUUCCAGAGUUACUAUGGGUGAGUCAGUACUUGUGGACACAUGGUCCACAAACCUGUGGGUUUCCUGAAU